Molecule: long non-coding RNA, 572 nt
Filed under: Homo sapiens (human)
Lineage: Eukaryota; Metazoa; Chordata; Mammalia; Primates; Hominidae
Description: HSALNT0387688
Source: RNAcentral
AGAGUCAUUUUACAAUCUGCUGGGCCUGACUCCCAUGGUUUGGGGGACAUUUCUGUUCAUCAGCACUGGGUUUAAGAAUGCCUUAUGAAUGGAACCCUAAGGGUAUGGAACCUUUUGAGCCUCACUUCUUCCACUCAGCGUAAGGCCUCUGAUCCAGCCAGGUCAUUGUGUGUAAUUCACACUGAUUCAUCCUUCUUCUCUUUCUGAGUAAUAUUUCAUUGUUUGGACGUACGACAUUCUGUUUAUCCAUUCACCAGUUGAAGGACAUUUGGGUUCCUUCCAGUGUGGGGUGAUUUCGAAUAAAGCUGCUACAAACAUUUGUGUGCAGGUUUGUGUGUGAACAUUUGUCUUUAUUUCUCUUGGGUAAAUACCUCGGAGCGAGAUUGCCGGGUCCUAUGUCUGCCUGCUGGGUCUACAGUUCAGAGUCCUCACACAGCUGCUCCAUGCAUUCUUGUCGGACAUCCCAGCUGCAUUCGGUGGAGAAGAGGGUGGAGAGUGUUGACUCCACCUCAUCCUCCAUCCCAGGCCCUUCUGAUGGCUUCUUCACUGUUUUAGUUGGGACAGUUAUGGCU